RNAcentral lists this ribosomal RNA (1475 nucleotides) under Clavibacter michiganensis subsp. michiganensis. Its description in RNAcentral is "16S ribosomal RNA". It matches the Rfam family "Bacterial small subunit ribosomal RNA". The record is from RNAcentral. Lineage: Bacteria; Bacillati; Actinomycetota; Actinomycetes; Micrococcales; Microbacteriaceae.
AGAGUUUGAUCCUGGCUCAGGACGAACGCUGGCGGCGUGCUUAACACAUGCAAGUCGAACGGUGAUGUCAGAGCUUGCUCUGGCGGAUCAGUGGCGAACGGGUGAGUAACACGUGAGUAACCUGCCCCCGACUCUGGGAUAACUGCUAGAAAUGGUAGCUAAUACCGGAUAUGACGAUUGGCCGCAUGGUCUGGUCGUGGAAAGAAUUUCGGUUGGGGAUGGACUCGCGGCCUAUCAGGUUGUUGGUGAGGUAAUGGCUCACCAAGCCUACGACCGGUAGCCGGCCUGAGAGGUGACCGGCCACACUGGGACUGAGACACGGCCCAGACUCUACGGGAGGCAGCAGUGGGGAAUAUUGCACAAUGGCGAAAGCCUGAUGCAGCAACGCCGCGUGAGGGAUGACGGCUUCGGGUUGUAAACCUCUUUUAGUAGGGAAGAAGCGAAAGUGACGGUACCUGCAGAAAAAGCACCGGCUAACUACGUGCCAGCAGCCGCGGUAAUACGUAGGGUGCAAGCGUUGUCCGGAAUUAUUGGCCGUAAAGAGCUCGUAGGCGGUUUGUCGCGUCUGCUGUGAAAUCCCGAGGCUCAACCUCGGGUCUGCAGUGGGUACGGGCAGACUAGAGUGCGGUAGGGGAGAUUGGAAUUCCUGGUGUAGCGGUGGAAUGCGCAGAUAUCAGGAGGAACACCGAUGGCGAAGGCAGAUCUCUGGCCGUAACUGACGCUGAGGAGCGAAAGCAUGGGGAGCGAACAGGAUUAGAUACCCUGGUAGUCCAUGCCGUAAACGUUGGGAACUAGAUGUGGGACCAUUCCACGGUCUCCGUGUCGCACUAACGCAUUAAGUUCCCCGCCUGGGGAGUACGGCCGCAAGGCUAAAACUCAAAGGAAUUGACGGGGGCCCGCACAAGCGGCGGAGCAUGCGGAUUAAUUCGAUGCAACGCGAAGAACCUUACCAAGGCUUGACAUAUACCGGAAACAUGCAGAAAUGUGUGCCCCGCAAGGUCGGUAUACAGGUGGUGCAUGGUUGUCGUCAGCUCGUGUCGUGAGAUGUUGGGUUAAGUCCCGCAACGAGCGCAACCCUCGUUCUAUGUUGCCAGCACGUAAUGGUGGGAACUCAUAGGAGACUGCCGGGGUCAACUCGGAGGAAGGUGGGGAUGACGUCAAAUCAUCAUGCCCCUUAUGUCUUGGGCUUCACGCAUGCUACAAUGGCCGGUACAAAGGGCUGCGAUACCGUAAGGUGGAGCGAAUCCCAAAAAGCCUGUCUCAGUUCGGAUUGAGGUCUGCAACUCGACCUCAUGAAGUCGGAGUCGCUAGUAAUCGCAGAUCAGCAACGCUGCGGUGAAUACGUUCCCGGGCCUUGUACACACCGCCCGUCAAGUCAUGAAAGUCGGUAACACCCGAAGCCAGUGGCCUAACCGCAAGGGAGGAGCUGUCGAAGGUGGGAUCGGUGAUUAGGACUAAGUCGUAACAAGGUAACC